UAUUCCCUCUUUUCUCCUCUAGGUGGUAAACCUGGUUUUAGAGAGGGACUUGAUGAGCCUACCCAGGGUUUCUCUCAGUGCAGACACCAGCAGCAGCAGUGUUUCCAAUCAAAGCAUCAGUCCAGCUACCAGCCCACUAAGGAUCAACAGCCACUCGACCAUCAGUACUCCUGCAAACACGAUUUCUGACCGGCCUAGGGACUACAGCUUUGUCAAUGAUGGCAUCACAGACAGGAUGAUCCUGUUUUAAUACAGAGUCAAUGGUGUCCCUUUUAGAAGUUAUCAUCUUGGCAACCAUUAACCGAAGACAUCUGAUGGCAAAAUAGCCAAUGUCCAUUGACAUCUAAACCUUCAAAAUGUCCCUCCUACCCAUUUCUGUACAGACCUGUAUUGCUGCUCAUUGUAUGUACCUUUAUGUAUAUAUCUGUCACUGAAUAAAGUUACUGAACUGAA
Molecule: long non-coding RNA, 453 nt
Organism: Micropterus salmoides (largemouth bass)
Lineage: Eukaryota; Metazoa; Chordata; Actinopteri; Centrarchiformes; Centrarchidae
Exons: 2
Source: RefSeq, a predicted model, not a curated record